Molecule: ribosomal RNA, 380 nt
Filed under: uncultured eukaryote
Lineage: Eukaryota
Description: partial 18S ribosomal RNA
Rfam family: Eukaryotic small subunit ribosomal RNA
Source: RNAcentral
CAAUAGCGUAUAUUAAAGUUGUUGCAGUUAAAAAGCUCGUAGUUGGAUUUGUGGCGUACGGUGGGUUCCGGGCACUUGUUGUCUGAGUAACUUGCUGUUGCCAUCCUUGGGUGGAACCUGUGUGGCAUUAGGUUGUCGUGCAGGGGAUGCCCAUCAUUUACUGUGAAAAAAUUAGAGUGUUCAAAGCAGGCUUAUGCCGUUGAAUAUAUUAGCAUGGAAUAAUGAGAUAGGACUUUUUUGCUAUUUUGUUGGUUUGCGCAAAGAGGUAAUGAUUAAUAGGGACAGUUGGGGGUAUUCGUAUUCCAUUGUCAGAGGUGAAAUUCUUGGAUUUCUGGAAGACGAACUACUGCGAAAGCAUUUACCAAGGAUGUUUUCAUUAA